Molecule: ribosomal RNA, 467 nt
Filed under: uncultured bacterium
Lineage: Bacteria
Description: bacterial SSU rRNA
Rfam family: Bacterial small subunit ribosomal RNA
Source: RNAcentral
GACGAACGCUGGCGGCGUGCCUAACACAUGCAAGUCGAGCGAUGAAACUUCCUUCGGGGAGUGGAUUAGCGGCGGACGGGUGAGUAACACGUGGGUAACCUGCCUCAAAGAGGGGGGAUAGCCUCCCGAAAGGGAGAUUAAUACCGACAUAACAUUAUUUUAUGGCAUCAUAAAAUAAUCAAAGGAGCAAUCCGCUUUUGAGAUGGACCCGCGGCGCAUUAGCUAGUUGGUGAGGUAAGGGCUCACCAAGGCGACGAUGCGUAGCCGACCUGAGAGGGUGAUCGGCCACAUUGGAACUGAGACACGGUCCAGACUCCUACGGGAGGCAGCAGUGGGGAAUAUUGCGCAAUGGGGGAAACCCUGACGCAGCAACGCCGCGUGAGUGAUGAAGGUUUUCGGAUCGUAAAACUCUGUCUUUAGGGACGAUAAUGACGGUACCUAAGGAGGAAGCCACGGCUAACUACGUG